GCCAACGACCAUACCAUGUUAAAACCACCAGUUCUCGUCCGAUCACUGAAGUUAAAUAGCAUUGGGCGCGGUUAGUACUUGGAUGGGUGACCGCCUGGGAACACCGCGUGCCGUUGGCU
This 119-nucleotide ribosomal RNA is filed under the name Venturia canescens. Lineage: Eukaryota; Metazoa; Arthropoda; Insecta; Hymenoptera; Ichneumonidae. The record is from RNAcentral.